GCUACAGUCAUUGGGGAGUAGCCUGUUCCAGAAAAUCGCUGGAAUAUUCGUAUCAACAUGCUCGUUUGAAAUAAAACGUGGUACGAAUGCCUAAAGAACCUAUACGGGU
This 109-nucleotide small RNA is filed under the name Xenorhabdus doucetiae. Its description in RNAcentral is "Manganese sequence". It matches the Rfam family "Manganese Mn2+ riboswitch aptamer (yybP-ykoY)". Rfam says of the family: This RNA was originally discovered in E. coli during a large scale screen and was named SraF. Lineage: Bacteria; Pseudomonadati; Pseudomonadota; Gammaproteobacteria; Enterobacterales; Morganellaceae. The record is from RNAcentral.